This 484-nucleotide ribosomal RNA is filed under the name uncultured bacterium. Its description in RNAcentral is "partial 16S ribosomal RNA". It matches the Rfam family "Bacterial small subunit ribosomal RNA", at positions 29 to 505 of the family's 1533-position model. The record is from RNAcentral.
AUUGAACGCUGGCGGCAUGCCUUACACAUGCAAGUCGAACGGCAGCACGGGUGCUUGCACCUGGUGGCGAGUGGCGAACGGGUGAGUAAUACAUCGGAACAUGUCCUGUAGUGGGGGAUAGCCCGGCGAAAGCCGGAUUAAUACCGCAUACGAUCUACGGAUGAAAGCGGGGGACCUUCGGGCCUCGCGCUAUAGGGUUGGCCGAUGGCUGAUUAGCUAGUUGGUGGGGUAAAGGCCUACCAAGGCGACGAUCAGUAGCUGGUCUGAGAGGACGACCAGCCACACGGGGACGGGGACCCGGCCCAGACUCCCAGGGGGGGCCGCAGUGGGAAAUUUGGGACAAGGGGCGAAGCCCUAAUCCAGCAAGGCCGCGGUGGGAAAGAAGCCCUUCGGGUUGAAAAGCACUUUUGUCCGGAAAAAAAUCCUUGGCCCUAAUACGGUCGGGGGUUGACGGUCCCGGAAAAAAAACCCCCGGCAAACUACG